AAAACAUACAGAAAUAGAAAGAUAAGAAGAA
This 31-nucleotide non-coding RNA is filed under the name Trypanosoma brucei brucei. The record is from RNAcentral. Lineage: Eukaryota; Euglenozoa; Kinetoplastea; Trypanosomatida; Trypanosomatidae.